Molecule: non-coding RNA, 1675 nt
Organism: Xyrichtys novacula (pearly razorfish)
Lineage: Eukaryota; Metazoa; Chordata; Actinopteri; Labriformes; Labridae
Source: the annotation of a GenBank genome assembly
GACCUGCGGCUUCUGUGAUGACAACAGUCACAUGGUGGCUCUCUGAGAGGCGGCCUAUCUCUGGAGGUGAAGCUACUUCACUGCACUACACCAUCAUAUCAGCAGCAGGCCCUGUUUGGUGUGAUCCUUAGUGGGGCUGGAGUGUGAACGCGUCUUCUUUUGGAGGUCAGAGCUGCUUGUUUUCUUCCAUCAUGAGACACAAAAGGAAGAUGUUGAAGUUAUUCCUCCUGUGAGUUCAUGUUGCAGCGUUUUAUAUCUGUUUGGUUAGCUAAAGUGGAUAUUGAACAUGCGCAGUAAUAACUCCCAAUUUCCACCGCAUCCGGAACGUCUACGAAAAGGCCGUAUCCGUCGAUCGUAGCUGAUCGUAACCAUUCAAGUUAACGUGUCAAUUUCCACUGACUUCUUUCCGUUCCACAGCUGAUCGCAAGAGUUCAAUUUUUUUCAGACGCCGGAGCAUGGCGGAUAAAUUCAACACAGAUUAACCCGUGCUGGAAAGGAAGUCGGGCACAGACACAAAAUAAAACAUCUGGCUUCUUUUCAAAAUAAAACACUCAUGCAAAUGGGCGGAGAUGAACAAGUAAAAGUUUUUUAGACGUCAUUUCACCCCGAUGACACCAUGGAUGAGGAGAUGCUGAUUCUAGAAGUCUAGAAGUAGAUUUCCUCCUCCUGAAGGACACAAUCUACUGCUUAUAUGGUUAGCCUGGUGGCUAAAGACAAUGAUAUCAUGCGAUUACACGUGAAUCCGCGGGUUCUUGGGAGUUCUCACGAUUCUUGCUGUCCGUAAUCUGCCAAGAAAUUCUCAAGUCAUUUCUGCAGGAGCAGCGACACAAACUAGUUUGUAAACAUCUUUACUUUGAGCGCGACAGUUAGCACUUUAACUUUGGUGCUAAUGGGGAUUUCGUAGCUUUGAGAACUAGCCUCUAGUGGACACUUGAGGAACUGCAGUUUAAUUUAGCAACACAGAAGGUCGCAAUGCCAUCAUGCAUUAUGUUCACUUCCAGUUUGCAAAAGCUGUGAACUCUGUUAGACUAUAUUUGUUUCUACCUCUCUCCUUUAUGAACUCCUGAGGGCGAGGUGCGAGUCUCAGAGGACAGGACAUGAUAUUUAAGAGCUCGCUAUGGGAGCAACAGAGACCUGCACUCUGAGGACAUUUGCUGCAGUAAUUUUAGUGUUAAAUAUUUAGGCUUUUCUGUUUGGAGAUGUUUCUUUUUUUUUAGAUAUUUUAUACAGUUUGUGUUGCUCUUUUGGUUGCAUGAUAUAAAAAUGAUCAUCUCUGUCCAUUUGCAGUAAAAUUUCCUGCAUAUUUCACAUAUUUUCUCUCUCACUUGGACUUUAAACCACAAAGUUUAAAGUUCGCCCGACUUUCAGGGAGUUUUUAGGGGGUUUGUGCACAUUAUUCAAGAUGUAAACAGUUUCCUCUACCUGACUCUUUGCUUCCUCUUGCAGGGACAUCAGUGAUCCCAGAGAAACAGUUCCAGAUAUCAUCUCUUUGUGCAGCAGCGUGGCGUGCGUGCCCCACAUACAGAGUCCGGUCUCCUCGUUACCCGUCGGGCUCAGCCUCCUGCAGAGUAUCCGAGGGAGUGACGGCACUCGUGAAACUCUAUCUGUCUGUUUCAUCAUGUGGACGUGGCUCUGCGGUUGCCCAGUCAUCCGAAGAACCCCACUACUUUCUUUG